This is a long non-coding RNA of Alosa sapidissima (American shad), 514 nucleotides long. RefSeq lists it as uncharacterized. The record is from RefSeq and is a predicted model, not a curated record. Lineage: Eukaryota; Metazoa; Chordata; Actinopteri; Clupeiformes; Clupeidae. The transcript has 3 exons.
UAAGGGGAGUGGAAAGAGGCCGCUCGGUCCUAAUCUACCUGUUCCGGAGGCAAGGUGUGUCAGGUUGGGAAAGCACGGCGUUUCUCCUCUUACUGUGAGCGGGCGUUUGAGGGUGGAUCCGGCAGCAGGGCCGACUUAACAGGGAAGACUGCUGGUUUCCUGGGAGAGCGAUCUAUUGGGCCCGUGUAUUUGUGCUGACCGCUGUUUGUUUUAGGCUUGUUUUGUUGCAUUUGUUUUAUUUGCGAACUGCUCAAGGGGUUUGGUGUAACUUUUCUAGCUGGCCAGCUAUGUAUGGGAAGAUAAGAGGGAUUCACGGGCUGGCUGGCUAGUUAAGAUUUUCUUCUUUUUGUAUGUUUGUUUCUUUUUGUGGUGUUGUCUAUGUCCACGUAACAGCCAGCCACUAAUCAGCCCGAGGAAAGGGGGUGUUACAAUUAAUAAGCUCUUCCUUCACUGCGUGCUGUGGGGUUUCCCGUGAUGAAUUGAAGUGUGUUGUGCGAGCGUUGUGCAAUAUCUU